Molecule: ribosomal RNA, 684 nt
Filed under: Triticum aestivum (bread wheat)
Lineage: Eukaryota; Viridiplantae; Streptophyta; Magnoliopsida; Poales; Poaceae
Description: partial small subunit ribosomal RNA
Source: RNAcentral
AUGGAUCUUGGGCGCCUGAACUAUGGGGUUGUCACUCUUAUCCCCAAUGUUCCGGGCGCGACGGACAUCCGCCAAUUCCGACCUAUCACUGUGAUCAAUGUGAUAUUCUGGAUCCUGGCCAAAGGGUACUCCAAUAGGGUGACCCUGCUAGCCAACUCGAUCACUCACCCCAAUCAGUCGGCUUUCAUUUAGGGUCAUUUUAUCCUGGAUGGGGUGUUGGUCUUCCACGAGGUCCUUCAUGAAGUCCGCUCCAAGCACCAACAGGCAGUCUUCCUGAAGCUCGACUUCCAUAAAGCCUAUGACACUAGUCACUGGCCCUUCCUUCAGGAAGUAUUACUCCGCAAGGGCUUUGAUGACCGUUGGGUGACCAGAGUUUUGCAGCUUGUCUCCCGCGGUCGGACCGCUAUUAACAUUAAUGGUAAGAUUGGCCCCUUCUUCCCCACACUAUGUGGGGUUCGCCAAGGCGGCCCUUUCUCACCGUUCCCGUUCAACAUGGUGGUUGACGCUCUUGCGGCCAUUCUUGACAAGGCCAAAUCGGCCGGUCACAUUCACGGCAUGGUACCACACCUAGUAAGAGGGGGUGGGGUCUUCCUCCUCCAAUAUGCCGACGACACCAUAAUAAUGGUUGAGGGCUCCGCGUCCGAUAUUGCCAACCUGAAGUUUCUCCUCCUAUGCUUCCAAUAG